AGAGAGACCCCCAGAGAGAGACCCUUAUAGAGAGAGACCCCCAGAGAGAGACCAUUAUAGAGAGACCCUUAUAGAGAGACCCUCAUAGAGAGAGACCCCACCAAACCAAAUGCACUCUGGCUUUUCUCUGGAUUACUUAAAUACGACUCAUUUAUAUCGUAAAUAUCUCCAUCCAGCCGGGAAGCUAACGUGAUGCUAGCAAGAUUCAGUCAAUAACAUUGCGCAACUCUAAUCAAAACAAUCUCGACUGAUCAAUAAUAGGGCUGUAGGUGAGAGGACCUGUAUGUAGUUUUUAUUUUGGGGUGAACCAUCUCUUUAAGGGUGUACUGUCUCUUUAAAGGUGAACUGUCUCUUUAAGAAAUGUCCCCUAAAGGGUGAACUGUCUCUUUCAGGGUGAACUGUCUCUUUAAGAACUGUCUCUUUAAAGGUGAACUGUCUCUUUAAGAAAUGUCCCCUAAAGGGGGAACUGUCUCUUUAAGGGUGAACUGACUCUUUAUGAACUGUUUCUUUAAGGGUGAACUGUCUCUUUAAGGUUGCACCUGGAAUAUUAAUAUGAAUUAUGUUGCGUAAAUAUAAUGUGUGCCUUUUUGAAGUUGGAAUCUUUGGUGCUUUUUUUAUCCCACGAGUUCGACGUUUACUUCCUUUUUUAUGGCAUCGUUUUAAAAAGAUACGAUUUGA
Long non-coding RNA from Cyclopterus lumpus (lumpfish), 678 nucleotides. RefSeq lists it as uncharacterized. The record is from RefSeq and is a predicted model, not a curated record. The transcript is spliced from 2 exons. Lineage: Eukaryota; Metazoa; Chordata; Actinopteri; Perciformes; Cyclopteridae.